GUGUCAGCAGCCGCGGUAAUACAGAGGUCCCAAGCGUUGUUCGGAUUCACUGGGCGUAAAGGGUGCGUAGGUGGCUGGGUAAGUUUGAUGUGAAAUCUCCGGGCUUAACCCGGAAAAUGCAUUGAAUACUAUCCAGCUAGAGGUUUGGAGGGGGGACUGGAAUUCUUGGUGUAGCAGUGAAAUGCGUAGAUAUCAAGAGGAACACCAGUGGCGAAGGCGAGUCCCUGGACAAAUCCUGACACUGAGGCACGAAAGCUAGGGGAGCAAACAGGAUUAGAUACCCUGGUAGUCC
RNAcentral lists this ribosomal RNA (292 nucleotides) under uncultured bacterium. RNAcentral describes it as "partial 16S ribosomal RNA". It matches the Rfam family "Bacterial small subunit ribosomal RNA", at positions 505 to 796 of the family's 1533-position model. The record is from RNAcentral.